GCCGAACCGAGCGAACGUUGUUCGGAAUCACUGGGCUUAAAGGGCGCGUAGGCGGGCUGUCAAGUCUGGGGUGAAAUCCCGCGGCUCAACCGUGGAACUGCCUCAGAUACUGACGGGCUCGAGGGAGGUAGGGGCGAGCGGAACUAAUGGUGGAGCGGUGAAAUGCGUUGAUAUCAGUAGGAACUCCGGUGGCGAAGGCGGCUCGCUGGACCUUUUCUGACGCUGAGGCGCGAAAGCUAGGGGAGCAAACGGG
This 253-nucleotide ribosomal RNA is filed under the name uncultured bacterium. RNAcentral describes it as "partial 16S ribosomal RNA". It matches the Rfam family "Bacterial small subunit ribosomal RNA", at positions 524 to 776 of the family's 1533-position model. The record is from RNAcentral.